RNAcentral lists this ribosomal RNA (403 nucleotides) under uncultured bacterium. RNAcentral describes it as "bacterial SSU rRNA". It matches the Rfam family "Bacterial small subunit ribosomal RNA", at positions 355 to 776 of the family's 1533-position model. The record is from RNAcentral.
UGGGGAAUAUUGCACAAUGGAGGAAACUCUGAUGCAGCGACGUCGCGUGAACGAUGAAGGUUUUCGGAUCGUAAAGUUUUGUCCUUGGGGAAGAUAAUGACGGUACCCGAGGAGGAAGCCCCGGCUAACUACGUGCCAGCAGCCGCGGUAAUACGUAGGGGGCGAGCGUUGUCCGGAUUUAUUGGGCGUAAAGGGUUCGCAGGUGGCCUUUUAAGUCAGAUGUGAAAGAUCAUAGCUCAACUAUGGUAAGCAUUUGAAACUGAAAGGCUUGAGUUAAGGAGAGGAAAGUGGAAUUCCUAGUGUAGCGGUGAAAUGCGUAGAUAUUAGGAGGAAUACCAGUGGCGAAGGCGACUUUCUGGACUUAUACUGACACUGAGGAACGAAAGCGUGGGGAGCAAACAGG